Long non-coding RNA from Panthera uncia (snow leopard), 801 nucleotides. RefSeq lists it as uncharacterized. NCBI's taxonomy places the organism in Eukaryota, Metazoa, Chordata, Mammalia, Carnivora, Felidae. The record is from RefSeq and is a predicted model, not a curated record. The transcript has 2 exons.
GAGGCUGAGACAGCGCUGGGCCUGGAGGAGGGAGCUAGGGGGUAGCCCCGCCCAGCCUGUGCCCAAGUACAGAACGCAGGAUGAGCACCCCCACCACCACCCCGUGCCCGUGCGGGCCAGGCCAGUCUUCAGAGUUCAGAGUGGGGUCAAGGAAGAGGACGGCUCUGUGUCUGCACCUGGGGCCCUGCGUGGAACUGAGAGAACCCUGGCCCCCUGCCCUGGGGAGUCUGAGGGGUCCCAUCCAACCUCUUGUCCCUUCUCUGUGACGGCUGACACCUGGACCUGGCGAGCGGGCCAGAGCAGCUCCUCAAGUUUUCCGGCACCUUCCACCCACAGAGGCUGUAGAGACGGGGUGUGGGGCCCAUGCUGAUUCUCCCCAGGCCACCUGCCUGACCACAACAAAGCCUGUCCACCUGCCUAGCCAAGGUUCACCUCGUUCUCCAGAGUUGUCCUCAGGAACAGCCAGCAUUUCUCAGAGGGCCUGACGGUGACACAGGCCCAGCACUGGGGGGACAGGAGGUGAAGAGGUGCACGGACACAGAGAUACAUGGACGGAGCCGGGGCAGGCCGGUGGGCAGCAGAGUGCCCCCUCCUAAGUUCCAGGACACAAUCCCACACUCUUCCUGAACUCAGAACCUGUAAAUCCACAAGGAGAGACCAGCACCUGGCCUUGGCCUCUGAGUGCAGCUCAGCGUGAGGUCGAGAUCCCCGACCCCCCUGCGCCCACCCUGCGCCCAUCCUGCGCCCCGGGCAGGUCCUACGGGCAGAUACGAAAAGUGGAAAUAAACCUUCCCUGUUUCA